UACAGAGGUGGCAAGCGUUGUUCGGAAUUACUGGGCGUAAAGGGCGCGUAGGCGGUCUUGUAAGUUCCGUGUGAAAUCCCUCGGCUCAACUGAGGAACCGCACGGAAAACUGCUUGGCUUGAGUUCGGGAGAGGGAAGCGGAAUUCCGGGUGUAGCGGUGAAAUGCGUAGAUAUCUGGAGGAACACCGGUGGCGAAGGCGGCCAUCUGGACCGCAACUGACGCUGAGGCGCGAAAGCGUGGGGAGCAAACAGG
RNAcentral lists this ribosomal RNA (253 nucleotides) under uncultured bacterium. Its description in RNAcentral is "partial 16S ribosomal RNA". It matches the Rfam family "Bacterial small subunit ribosomal RNA", at positions 524 to 776 of the family's 1533-position model. The record is from RNAcentral.